This is an RNA transcript of Silurus meridionalis, 2886 nucleotides long. It is a transcript of the gene named histamine receptor H2a, with no coding region annotated. NCBI's taxonomy places the organism in Eukaryota, Metazoa, Chordata, Actinopteri, Siluriformes, Siluridae. The transcript has 3 exons. The record is from RefSeq and is a predicted model, not a curated record.
GAGAGAGAGAAUGUGUGUGUGUAUGUAUGUAUGUAUGUGAAAGGGGAGAAAAGACAUCACAGAAAUGGAGGUCAUUUAAAGAGCGAAAAGGAAAAAAUAUCAUGCAUUAACGAUUCUCACCAGAAGAGGGCGGCAGAGUCGUAUUAAAUGGAUUAUGCCUCCAAACAAGGAUUAAUUUUUUGAAAGGUCGAUGGACGUGCAAGAGAAUUCAUUUUCUAUUACACGACUAACACGGAGAUGUAAAGGAGGCCUAUGCAUGCGACAUGUUGGCUAUUUGCUGAAAAAACGAUCAACUAUCCACAUUAUCUACAUUAUCAUUGACUUCCUAACGCUCCUCCUCUUACUUUGAUCACUGCAGUAUUAAAAUGUGGUCUCAGAUAGGAUUAGGUGUGAUUCUAUCUUUCCUCAUCUUGCUAACAGUGUGUGGAAAUGUGCUGGUGUGUUUGGCUGUCUGCGCAACCAGACGCCUACGCAGUGUCACCAACUGCUUCAUCGUGUCACUGGCAAUUACUGACCUACUCCUGGGAGUUCUGGUCCUUCCUUUCUCUACUCUCAUUGAGGUGACUGGGGAUUGGCCACUGGGAGCUCACUUCUGCAAUGUCUAUAUUUCAAUGGAUGUCAUGCUGAGCACUGCUUCUAUUCUUAAUCUUCUGGCUAUUAGCAUAGAUCGCUACAUUGCAGUCACAGUGCCUUUACGUUAUCCUACAUUGGUGCUGCCAUGGCACGUUGGUACAUCGUUAGCAGUCAUCUGGGUGGUGUCUAUCGGGGUCUCGUUUGUUCCUAUUCACCUCGGCUGGAAUACAGUGGACCAGACGGUGCAGAAUCAUGGUAAGGAUGACCCUGCGGAAGACUGUCGCUUCGAGCUAAAUCCAACUUAUGUACUAGUGGAUUCAGUUGCAACCUUUUAUCUUCCACUGGUGGCAAUGUGCUGGACUUAUUACCGAGUGUUCCGCAUUGCACGGGCCCAGGCAAAGCGAAUCCUUUCCAUACAUCGAGCAUGCUCUGCAACCACCAUGUCAUCGUUAUCAGGAGUGUCAAUGUUAGCACUACGUGAACACAAAGCUGCAGUCAGACUAGCAGUUGUGCUGGGCGCGUUUGUAGUUUGCUGGUUUCCUUAUUUUACAUUUUUUACCAUUAUGGGGAUACGAAAGGAGCCGGAUCUUCCACGCAUGGCAUAUUCGGUGGUGCUGUGGCUAGGCUAUGCUAACUCCACCCUUAACCCGUUCCUUUAUGCUGCACUCAACAGGGACUUUAGGUCUGCUUAUGGCAGGCUGUUGUUUGGCUGGAGGGGCAAUAACACACCAACAGGAACGCCCACUACUAUGCCAGAGGCUGGGUUGUUAAAUGAACUUACCCCUUCCAGCAGCAGGGCAGAAUUUAUACCUAAAGCCUAUGUCAUGCUACAGGAUAUGAGCAAAGGAAAUGAAGAUGAGACGAGUGGGACAUCGCUCAGCAUCGUCUCGGUCCUCUCCAAUGGCCAGAACAGGUAUUGGAGACAUAAAACUAAUGGACAACCAUUAGAAUAUACAGUACAGAGACCACUUUAUAAAUGUAUGUAAUGUUACUUAACAAAUACAUUGUUUAUUUGUUACAAGUGUCUGAUGUUCAAACAUCAUCUCUCUAUCCAUCUUUAUUUCUCUCUGUCAGAUCAUAAUACUUCGACAAAUCUGGACGCUUAUUAAAAAUUACCCUCAUCUAAGCUUUACCCAAGUUUCUAACCACCCUCCAGUUGUGACACAGUAGGAGUUGUCAACCACAAUCUGAUGAAACAUUUGGUCCUGUGAGAGCUUUGAGGAGAGAAAAGCUCUGAAGAAAAAUUGUGUAUUUAGUCUCACUAUACCAGUGGAAAUAAGAAUAAUGAAAAAGCAGGGGGGCUACUUGAAAAAAAGGUGCAUUUGACUGCAAAAAGACAAGGCCUGGGUAAUGGAGGCUGCAACGAUAAAGACUAAGAAGCUUACAGAAAGCGUUCUGUGAUACAGGGUUCCCUCUACAGGUCGGUAGAGGAACUACAACUAAAAUGUGAAUGCUGGAAAAAGACUAAAAGGAUUACACUGUCCACUAAUCUUGGGUGGAAAAUCUGUAGAGAAUUAACUUAAAAACUUUAAAACAAUGUAAAGAUAAGGAUAGUGUAAAUAUAACAUGCUGUAAAACAGUGAGCAGAAAAUAAGUAAUAUACAUUUUCAUUAACAGUGUUUGUUUAUUAUUGUAUUAGGUGGUUAUAUUUUCUCUUUUUUUUCUUUUUUCUUUUUUUUUUUUUUUUACAAAUGUAUUUGCACUGUGAAGAGAAAAGAUGUAAAACAACUAUUUAAUGAUUGAAUCAAAUGGCUCAAUUAUGUUUUUAUCAAACAUGUGAUCAGCUUACCAAAAAUAAAAAGGUUUUCUUAAAUAUUAAGGGUUUAUUUUUUUUAUUAUAACCACCCCAUUUGGUUGAGCAAAUGUAAAAUGUCUAAAACAUUCACAAGCACUGUAUUUACUGAAGAUUUAUUCAUCAUAUUUUAGAUUUUUAACAUACAGGCAUUAUUUGAUGGUGUGAGAUGUAAACUAAUCCUCUUUACUUUGGUUGAAUUUUAUAGCAGGCACUGAAUAAAAAUUCUCUUUCUGUCUUGCAUUUCUUAACAAUUCUCUUGCUUUUCAUCAAAAUAAAGCAAAAACUAAGACAGUUAAGCAUGUGUUAAACAGAAUUCAGAUGUGCAAGAAGUAUUCAUUUAACAUUUUGCAAGCUAACUAGCUAGCUGGAUUUUCUGCAUGGUUAGCAUGUGUGGUACAGUACUACAUUAGACACAUACAGGACAAAUACAAUUCAUCAGGCCACCAUUUUUUUCUGAAGAAUAUCCAGCAUAAGUGUUAGCUAUCGUUCCACUGGAAUGCUUGCAUUAUUGGUAUAGA